This 1032-nucleotide ribosomal RNA is filed under the name human gut metagenome. RNAcentral describes it as "bacterial LSU rRNA". It matches the Rfam family "Bacterial large subunit ribosomal RNA", at positions 1510 to 2569 of the family's 2925-position model. The record is from RNAcentral.
CCCCCCCUCGAGGUCCGCUCCAUCUGGUUCAACCGGUACAGAUCGAGGGAAGUUAGUACCGAAGUCUGGGAUGGAGGAUGGCGAGAAAAGCUGUGUGUAUUUCUGAGGUGCCCGUACCGCAAACCGACACAGGUAGGUAGGAAGAAGAUUCUAAGGCCAACGGGAGAAGGGUUGUUAAGGAACUCGGCAAAUUGACCCCGUAACUUCGGGAGAAGGGGUGCUCCAGAGAUGGAGCCGCAGAGAAUCGGCCCAAGCAACUGUUUACCAAAAACACAGGUUUGUGCUAAAUCGAAAGAUGACGUAUACGAGCUGACGCCUGCCCGGUGCUGGAAGGUUAAGAGGAGAUGUGCAAGCAUUGAAUCGAAGCCCCAGUGAACGGCGGCCGUAACUAUAACGGUCCUAAGGUAGCGAAAUUCCUUGUCAGGUAAGUUCUGACCCGCAUGAAAGGCGUAAUGAUUUGGGCACUGUCUCAACAGCCCGCCCGGCGAAAUUGUAGUACCGGUGAAGAUGCCGGUUACCCGCGACAAGACGGAAAGACCCCAUGGAGCUUUACUGUAGCCUAAUAUUGGGUUUCGAUGUUGCAUGCACAGGAUAGAUGGGACACAGACGGUAUCGAUAAGCUUGAUUCAAGCUUAUCGAUACCGUCGGCCGUUGGGAUACCAUCCUUGCGAUAUUGGAAUUCUAACCUGCGGCUCUGAAUCGAGUCGGGGGACAUUGUUAGGUGGGCAGUUUGACUGGGGCGGUCGCCUCCUAAAAAGUAACGGAGGCGUUCAAAGGUUCGCUCAGCUUGAACGGAAAUCAAGCAAAAGAGUGCAAACGCAGAAGCGAGCCUAACUGCGAGACUGACGGGUCGAGCAGUAACGAAAGUUGGAGUUAGUGAUCCGGUGGUAUGUGAGUGGAAAUGCCAUCGCUCAACGGAUAAAAGUUACCCUGGGGAUAACAGGCUGAUCUCCCCCAAGAGUCCACAUCGACGGGGAGGUUUGGCACCUCGAUGUCGGCUCAUCGCAUCCUGGGGCUGUAGUAGGUCCCAAG